GCUUAUCACCAUUCCAGAUUGAAUAUACCCGAUCUCGUCUGAUCUCGGAAGUCAAGCAAUCUCGGGCUUGAUUAGUACUUGGAUGGGUGACCGUUGGGAAUACCAAGUGUGAAAAGCA
Non-coding RNA from Ciona savignyi (Pacific transparent sea squirt), 118 nucleotides. The record is from Rfam. Lineage: Eukaryota; Metazoa; Chordata; Ascidiacea; Phlebobranchia; Cionidae.